Molecule: ribosomal RNA, 155 nt
Filed under: Stegodyphus mimosarum
Lineage: Eukaryota; Metazoa; Arthropoda; Arachnida; Araneae; Eresidae
Description: 5.8S ribosomal RNA
Rfam family: 5.8S ribosomal RNA
About the family: 5.8S ribosomal RNA (5.8S rRNA) is a component of the large subunit of the eukaryotic ribosome. It is transcribed by RNA polymerase I as part of the 45S precursor that also contains 18S and 28S rRNA.
Source: Rfam by way of RNAcentral
AACUCUGAGCAGUGGAUCACUCAGCUCACGGGUCGAUGAAGAACGCAGCCAGCUGCGAGACUUGGUGUAAAUUGCAGGACACAUUGAGCACUGAGUUUUCGAACGUGCAUUGCAGUAUAUAUACAUAUAUGUAAAUAUACAUUGAAUUAGUAUAU